GUCUCUUCGGAGACAUCCGAUAAAAUUGGAACAGAUACAGAGAAGAUUAGCAAGGCCCUGCGCUGAUGAUACCAACAAAUUGAGAAAUGGUCCAAAUUUUU
This 101-nucleotide small nuclear RNA is filed under the name Amborella trichopoda. The record is from RNAcentral. Lineage: Eukaryota; Viridiplantae; Streptophyta; Magnoliopsida; Amborellales; Amborellaceae.